CGUGAUCGUGGGGUGCUGCCGCGACUGCCGGCCGUGCAAGGCCAACGUCGAGCAGUACUGCAACAAGAAGAUCUGGUCGUACAACGACGUCUACACCGACGGCAAGCCGACGCAGGGCGGCUUCGCCUCCGCCAUGGUCGUCGAUCAGAAGUGAGUUCUGUUUUACUACUACUACUACUAGUACUAUUCUUGCUAGCAAAGCCAUUGCACCCAUCAGUGUCAUCUGUUAGAUCUACCGAAAAGGACAUAUGGUGGUAGGACUUUUUCGAUGUGGUUGGAUCAAAUCACUGUCGAGAAAUGGUUGUAGUGGAAAAGAAGGAUGCGAGGCUGCUAUCUGAAACUUAAAAAGGUGUGGCGCGUGCGGAGAGAAUCAGAUAAGGGUUGGUGUGCAUGCUGUGCUUGGGCUACUUUUCCUUGUGGGAUUGUGAGCAGCCAGCGGCAGUGCGAUGAGAAAAGGACGUACUAGUAGGUUUUCGUUUCUUUGAAGCAGACUAGCGUGCUCAUGAUUCGUCAGUCAUCACCUGCUGGGAGAAUCGCUUGGCUACUUCUACGUUCUACCCAUGCAGUUUGAUCCAUAGCGACGUUGCUUUGACACCGAUGGUAAUGACACCUUAGGGAGUUGGUAUACGUAGCAUUCUAAGAGUAUCUACCGUGUCAAAGUCUGAUCGGUUCAGCUCAGUGUCGUCCGUCCAAGUUGGUAGCAUUCUAAGGGCAUGGCCAUCGCGUCGCCUCAGACCUACUGCCCUAGGGUCCAGCUAGGUUCGGAUGCCACGGUGGUGAUGCAGGUGCUGCUUGCAGACCACAGGUGCAGCUUGCAGAGGAGACGGCUUCUUCGGCUGGGAAAGUGGAAAAAGUUCAGAGAGAGAGAGAAAUAGGGGAGGAAAAGGAGAUAUGGGGACCUUUGCUGCUCCCACCCUCUGUGCUGCAUGGUAGAUGGCUGACGCUGCGUAGGUCCCACUAGAUGGUAGCUUCCGUUGGACAAUAGAAAAAAUUAUGUGGUGGUUUUAGAUAUUUAUGUCUAGAUGGACUAUGGGGCAGCACCAAACGGGUGCUUCCAUUGUACAUGCCCUAAGAGUAUCUACCGUGUCAAAGUCUGAUCGGUUCAGCUCAGUGUCGUCCGUCCAAGUUGGUGGCCAACACUUACGUCGGCGUGAUGUAACGAUAUUGGCAUUGGAAUCAGUCAAGUGAACGCAUAUAUUUAUGAAAAUUAUUAAGUUGUGUUGCAUUUGGUCGUGUGCAGGUUCGUGGUGAAGAUCCCGGCCGGGCUGGCGCCGGAGCAGGCGGCGCCGCUGCUGUGCGCGGGCGUGACGGUGUACAGCCCGCUGAAGCACUUCGGGCUCAUGACCCCCGGCCUCCGCGGCGGCAUCCUGGGCCUGGGCGGCGUGGGCCACAUGGGCGUGAAGGUGGCCAAGUCCAUGGGCCACCACGUGACGGUGAUCAGCUCGUCCAACAAGAAGCGGGCCGAGGCCAUGGACGACCUGGGCGCCGACGCGUACCUCGUCAGCUCCGACGCCGACCAGAUGGCCGCCGCCGCCGACUCGCUGGACUACAUCAUCGACACGGUGCCCGCGAAGCACCCGCUGGAGCCCUACCUGGCGCUGCUCAAGAUGGACGGCAAGCUGGUGCUGAUGGGCGUGAUCGCGGAGCCGCUCAGCUUCGUGUCCCCCAUGGUGAUGCUGGGGAGGAAGACCAUCACGGGGAGCUUCAUCGGGAGCAUGGACGAGACGGAGGAGGUGCUCCAGUUCUGCGUCGACAAAGGGCUCACCUCGCAGAUCGAGGUCGUCAAGAUGGACUACGUCAACCAGGCGUUCGAGAGGCUCGAGCGCAACGACGUCCGCUACCGCUUCGUCGUCGACGUCGGCGGGAGCAACAUCGAGGACGCCGCCUGAUCGAUGACGGCCGGGAAAAAGAGAGAGCUAGACCGAGCGGCGAGUGCAAUGACAGUAUCAUGUGUGCCCGUGCCAUUUGCCUGUACUUGAUGCAGUACAUGUUCGUGACCUGUUUCCGUUUUCUAUCAGAGUUGCGCGCGUUCGUUUCGGUGGAGAUGCAUGUUUUGCUGUUAAUCCGGCCUUAAGGACUAUGAUAUAUGUAUGGAGUUAUCUCUACUCUUAAUGUCUGAGUUGGUUGAAUAGUACGGUUUAUUUUUAUCCCAUCACUUUCAACCGCUUUAUUUCAUUGGUUUUUUU
This 2186-nucleotide long non-coding RNA is filed under the name Triticum aestivum (bread wheat). RNAcentral's name for it is "long non-coding RNA (TAES_LNC010145)". Lineage: Eukaryota; Viridiplantae; Streptophyta; Magnoliopsida; Poales; Poaceae. The record is from RNAcentral.